AGCUUUGCACAGCAGCAGUAUCGUAGUCAAUGAGGUUUAUCCAAGGUGCGAUUAUUGCUAAUUGAAAACUUUUCCCAAUACCCUGCCCGUGAUGACUUGUGAUAUAGUCAGCAUUCACAAUUUUUGACAGUCUCUACUGAGA
RNAcentral lists this small nuclear RNA (142 nucleotides) under Carlito syrichta (Philippine tarsier). RNAcentral's name for it is "U4 spliceosomal RNA (ENSTSYG00000027483.1)". It matches the Rfam family "U4 spliceosomal RNA". From Rfam's summary of the family: U4 small nuclear RNA (U4 snRNA) is a component of the major U2-dependent spliceosome. Lineage: Eukaryota; Metazoa; Chordata; Mammalia; Primates; Tarsiidae. The record is from Rfam by way of RNAcentral.